RNAcentral lists this long non-coding RNA (828 nucleotides) under Mus musculus (house mouse). RNAcentral describes it as "long non-coding RNA chr11:70654099-70654927". The record is from RNAcentral. Lineage: Eukaryota; Metazoa; Chordata; Mammalia; Rodentia; Muridae.
GGGCCCCGGAUGUAACGCCCGGUCGCAGAAAGCGGGGCGGCGGGCGAGAUGGGCGCCGCCGCCGAGGGGCGUAGAGCCCGGGGAACCACAGAGGGAGCCAGUCUCACGCAGCCGCCAUUCGCCCCGCCGAUGGGAGAGGACCGGAUCACGGCCUCCCGCUGCCCUCGCUCGCCUGCGCCCGCCCCCACCCCAGUCCCCCAGAGGGUCUAAGGCCGGUCACUGCUCGGGACCGCACGAGCCUCGCAGUACCGUAAUGCUAACGAAGGUCUUCCCGGGGACGGCGGCCCAGACGGAGGGCGAGUCCUUGUAGCCUACGAUGGCCGCGUCCUGACAGGUCCCGUCCGCCAUAAGGCUGUCGAUGUAGGCGUUCCACCCGGCCAUGGCGCUGCUGCUGGGGCUGCUCUGCGGGCUGUUGCUGGGAUCGCGGGCUCGGGCUCGGGCUGGCGGGCGGGGGAAGGCAGAGAGCUCGGGGCACGCGCUGCCGUCCGGAACGCGGCUCUGUUAGCUGUGCAGCAGCCCUCGCACCGCCACUUCCUGCUCCUCCCCCCCCCCUCUAGAUUUUUAUUUGCAAAGGGCGGCGGGGCGGGGCCUGCGCCCCAUUCCCUCCCUCCAUCCUCCCCCCCCCCCCGCCGGGCCAGAUAGCGAACUUUUGCAAAUGCAAUUUUUAAAAAACCCUCCCCCCACUUUGCAAAAUUUGCCGAGUUCGAUGGAAAGCCACGCCAAAGGCUAUAUAGAGUGGUGGUGGCAGGAGAGGUUAAGGUUAGGGCUCGCUCCGAUUCAUCCUGAAUACCACUUGGCUAUAGAAGGAGGAAGCCAGAGGAAGCAGGG